Molecule: ribosomal RNA, 468 nt
Filed under: uncultured bacterium
Lineage: Bacteria
Description: partial 16S ribosomal RNA
Rfam family: Bacterial small subunit ribosomal RNA
Source: RNAcentral
GACGAACGCUGGCGGCGCGCCUAACACAUGCCGGUCGAACGGAGUCAAGAGGAGCUUGCUUUUCUUGACUUAGUGGCGAACGGGUGAGUAACGCGUGAGUAACCUGCCCUGGAGUGGGGGACAACAGUUGGAAACGACUGCUAAUACCGCAUAAGCUCACGGAUCCGCAUGGAUCUGCGGGAAAAGGAUUUAUUCGCUUCAGGCUGGACUCGCGUCCAAUUAGCUAGUUGGUGAGGUAACGGCCCACCAAGGCGACGUUUGGUAGCCGGACUGGGAGGGUGAACGGCCACAUUGGGGCUGAGACACGGCCCAGACUGCUACGGGGGGCAGCAGUAGGGGGUAUUGCGCAAUGGGGGAAACCCUGAUGCAGCGACGCCGCGUGGAGGAAGAAGGGUUUCGGAUUGUAAACUCCUGUCGUUAGGGACGAUAAUGACGGUACCUAACAAGAAAGCACCGGCUAACUACGUG